UAGUAAUCGCGGAUCAGCAUGCCGCGGUGAAUACGUUCCCGGGCCUUGUACACACCGCCCGUCACACCAUGAGAGUCGGGAACACCCGAAGUCCGUAGUCUAACCGCAAGGAGGACGCGGCCGAAGGUGGGCUUGAUAAUUGGGGUGAAGUCGUAACAAGGUAGC
Molecule: ribosomal RNA, 165 nt
Filed under: uncultured bacterium
Lineage: Bacteria
Description: partial 16S ribosomal RNA
Rfam family: Bacterial small subunit ribosomal RNA
Source: RNAcentral